UUAAGCGACUAAGCGUACACGGUGGAUGCCCUGGCAGUCAGAGGCGAUGAAGGACGUGCUAAUCUGCGAUAAGCGUCGGUAAGGUGAUAUGAACCGUUAUAACCGGCGAUUUCCGAAUGGGGAAACCCAGUGUGAUUCGUCACACUAUCAUUAACUGAAUCCAUAGGUUAAUGAGGCGAACCGGGAGAACUGAAACAUCUAAGUACCCCGAGGAAAAGAAAUCAACCGAGAUUCCCCCAGUAGCGGCGAGCGAACGGGGAGCAGCCCAGAGCCUGAAUCAGUGUGUGUGUUAGUGGAAGCGUCUGGAAAGGCGCGCGAUACAGGGUGACAGCCCCGUACACAAAAAUGCACAUAUUGUGAGCUCGAUGAGUAGGGCGGGACACGUGGUAUCCUGUCUGAAUAUGGGGGGACCAUCCUCCAAGGCUAAAUACUCCUGACUGACCGAUAGUGAACCAGUACCGUGAGGGAAAGGCGAAAAGAACCCCGGCGAGGGGAGUGAAAAAGAACCUGAAACCGUGUACGUACAAGCAGUGGGAGCACGCUUAGGCGUGUGACUGCGUACCUUUUGUAUAAUGGGUCAGCGACUUAUAUUCUGUAGCAAGGUUAACCGAAUAGGGGAGCCGAAGGGAAACCGAGUCUUAACUGGGCGUUAAGUUGCAGGGUAUAGACCCGAAACCCGGUGAUCUAGCCAUGGGCAGGUUGAAGGUUGGGUAACACUAACUGGAGGACCGAACCGACUAAUGUUGAAAAAUUAGCGGAUGACUUGUGGCUGGGGGUGAAAGGCCAAUCAAACCGGGAGAUAGCUGGUUCUCCCCGAAAGCUAUUUAGGUAGCGCCUCGUGAAUUCAUCUCCGGGGGUAGAGCACUGUUUCGGCAAGGGGGUCAUCCCGACUUACCAACCCGAUGCAAACUGCGAAUACCGGAGAAUGUUAUCACGGGAGACACACGGCGGGUGCUAACGUCCGUCGUGAAGAGGGAAACAACCCAGACCGCCAGCUAAGGUCCCAAAGUCAUGGUUAAGUGGGAAACGAUGUGGGAAGGCCCAGACAGCCAGGAUGUUGGCUUAGAAGCAGCCAUCAUUUAAAGAAAGCGUAAUAGCUCACUGGUCGAGUCGGCCUGCGCGGAAGAUGUAACGGGGCUAAACCAUGCACCGAAGCUGCGGCAGCGACGCUGAUGCGUUGUUGGGUAGGGGAGCGUUCUGUAAGCCUGCGAAGGUGUGCUGUGAGGCAUGCUGGAGGUAUCAGAAGUGCGAAUGCUGACAUAAGUAACGAUAAAGCGGGUGAAAAGCCCGCUCGCCGGAAGACCAAGGGUUCCUGUCCAACGUUAAUCGGGGCAGGGUGAGUCGACCCCUAAGGCGAGGCCGAAAGGCGUAGUCGAUGGGAAACAGGUUAAUAUUCCUGUACUUGGUGUUACUGCGAAGGGGGGACGGAGAAGGCUAUGUUGGCCGGGCGACGGUUGUCCCGGUUUAAGCGUGUAGGCUGGUUUUCCAGGCAAAUCCGGAAAAUCAAGGCUGAGGCGUGAUGACGAGGCACUACGGUGCUGAAGCAACAAAUGCCCUGCUUCCAGGAAAAGCCUCUAAGCAUCAGGUAACAUCAAAUCGUACCCCAAACCGACACAGGUGGUCAGGUAGAGAAUACCAAGGCGCUUGAGAGAACUCGGGUGAAGGAACUAGGCAAAAUGGUGCCGUAACUUCGGGAGAAGGCACGCUGAUAUGUAGGUGAAGUCCCUUGCGGAUGGAGCUGAAAUCAGUCGAAGAUACCAGCUGGCUGCAACUGUUUAUUAAAAACACAGCACUGUGCAAACACGAAAGUGGACGUAUACGGUGUGACGCCUGCCCGGUGCCGGAAGGUUAAUUGAUGGGGUCAGCGCAAGCGAAGCUCUUGAUCGAAGCCCCGGUAAACGGCGGCCGUAACUAUAACGGUCCUAAGGUAGCGAAAUUCCUUGUCGGGUAAGUUCCGACCUGCACGAAUGGCGUAAUGAUGGCCAGGCUGUCUCCACCCGAGACUCAGUGAAAUUGAACUCGCUGUGAAGAUGCAGUGUACCCGCGGCAAGACGGAAAGACCCCGUGAACCUUUACUAUAGCUUGACACUGAACAUUGAGCCUUGAUGUGUAGGAUAGGUGGGAGGCUUUGAAGUGUGGACGCCAGUCUGCAUGGAGCCGACCUUGAAAUACCACCCUUUAAUGUUUGAUGUUCUAACGUUGACCCGUGAUCCGGGUUGCGGACAGUGUCUGGUGGGUAGUUUGACUGGGGCGGUCUCCUCCUAAAGAGUAACGGAGGAGCACGAAGGUUGGCUAAUCCUGGUCGGACAUCAGGAGGUUAGUGCAAUGGCAUAAGCCAGCUUGACUGCGAGCGUGACGGCGCGAGCAGGUGCGAAAGCAGGUCAUAGUGAUCCGGUGGUUCUGAAUGGAAGGGCCAUCGCUCAACGGAUAAAAGGUACUCCGGGGAUAACAGGCUGAUACCGCCCAAGAGUUCAUAUCGACGGCGGUGUUUGGCACCUCGAUGUCGGCUCAUCACAUCCUGGGGCUGAAGUAGGUCCCAAGGGUAUGGCUGUUCGCCAUUUAAAGUGGUACGCGAGCUGGGUUUAGAACGUCGUGAGACAGUUCGGUCCCUAUCUGCCGUGGGCGCUGGAGAACUGAGGGGGGCUGCUCCUAGUACGAGAGGACCGGAGUGGACGCAUCACUGGUGUUCGGGUUGUCAUGCCAAUGGCACUGCCCGGUAGCUAAAUGCGGAAGAGAUAAGUGCUGAAAGCAUCUAAGCACGAAACUUGCCCCGAGAUGAGUUCUCCCUGACCCUUUAAGGGUCCUGAAGGAACGUUGAAGACGACGACGUUGAUAGGCCGGGUGUGUAAGCGCAGCGAUGCGUUGAGCUAACCGGUACUAAUGAACCGUGAGGCUUAACCUU
This 2902-nucleotide ribosomal RNA is filed under the name Escherichia coli. Its description in RNAcentral is "23S ribosomal RNA". It matches the Rfam family "Bacterial large subunit ribosomal RNA". Lineage: Bacteria; Pseudomonadati; Pseudomonadota; Gammaproteobacteria; Enterobacterales; Enterobacteriaceae. The record is from RNAcentral.